RNAcentral lists this ribosomal RNA (478 nucleotides) under uncultured bacterium. RNAcentral describes it as "partial 16S ribosomal RNA". It matches the Rfam family "Bacterial small subunit ribosomal RNA", at positions 28 to 507 of the family's 1533-position model. The record is from RNAcentral.
GAUGAACGCUGGCGGCGGGCCUAACACAUGCAAGUCGAACGGGAAUUCUGUAAGUGCGACUUCGUUCGGUUUGAGGCAAUCGUAGGGGUGGCGGGUGGAUUAACUCCUGGGUAAUCGGGCAUAUACAGGGGGAUAACCUUCAGAUAUGGCAGCAAAUCCCGAAUAAGCGCACACAGGUGCAUGGCGGAGUUUGUCAGACUCAGGUGGCCUAGGAUGGACCUGGGUUGGCUUAGCGGGUUGGGGGGGUAACGGCCCCCCAAGGCGACGAUUCGUAGCCGGGCUGAGAGGGUGAACCGCCACAUUGGGACUGAGACACGGCCCAGACUACUACGGGAGGCAGCAGUGGGGGAUAUUGCACAAUGGGGGAAACCCUGAUGCAGCGACGCCGCGUGAAGGAAGAAGUUUCUCGGUAUGUAAACUUCUAUCAGCAGGGAAGAUAGUGACGGUACCUAACUAAGAAGCCCCGGCUAACUACGUG